RNAcentral lists this ribosomal RNA (429 nucleotides) under Acidobacteriota bacterium. Its description in RNAcentral is "Acidobacteria bacterium partial 16S ribosomal RNA". It matches the Rfam family "Bacterial small subunit ribosomal RNA", at positions 355 to 776 of the family's 1533-position model. Lineage: Bacteria; Pseudomonadati; Acidobacteriota. The record is from RNAcentral.
UGGGGAAUUUUGGACAAUGGGGGAAACCCUGAUUCAGCCAUCCCGCGUGUGCGAUGAAGGCCUUCGGGUUGUAAAGCACUUUUGGCAGGAAAGAAACGUCAUGGGUUAAUACCCCGUGAAACUGACGGUACCUGCAGAAUAAGCACCGGCUAACUACGUGCCAGCAGCCGCGGUAAUACGUAGGGUGCAAGCGUUAAUCGGAAUUACUGGGCGUAAAGCGUGCGCAGGCGGUUCGGAAAGAAAGAUGUGAAAUCCCAGAGCUCAACUUUGGAACUGCAUUUUUAACUACCGGGCUAUAGUGUGUCAGAGGGAGGUGGAAUUCCGCGUGUAGCAGUGAAAUGCGUAGAUAUGCGGAGGAACACCGAUGGCGAAGGCAGCCUCCUGGGAUAACACUGACGCUCAUGCACGAAAGCGUGGGGAGCAAACAGG